GCCGAUAUGGCGCAGUGGUAUCUAGUGCGACUGCCUGCGACGCAGAAGGUUCUGGGUUCGAUUCCCAGUGGGUU
Phthorimaea operculella (potato tuberworm) is the source of this 74-nucleotide non-coding RNA. The record is from the annotation of a GenBank genome assembly. NCBI's taxonomy places the organism in Eukaryota, Metazoa, Arthropoda, Insecta, Lepidoptera, Gelechiidae.